Molecule: ribosomal RNA, 206 nt
Filed under: uncultured bacterium
Lineage: Bacteria
Description: partial 16S ribosomal RNA
Rfam family: Bacterial small subunit ribosomal RNA
Source: RNAcentral
UGCGUAGGCGGUAUGUUAAGUCUGAGGUAAAAGUGCGGGGCUCAACCCCGUGAUGCCUUGGAUACUGGCAAACUAGAGUGUGGUAGAGGCAAGUGGAACUCCAUGUGUAGAGGUAAAAUUCGUAAAUAUAUGGAAGAACACCAGUGGCGAAGGCGGCUUGCUGGGCCAUUACUGACGCUGAGGCACGAAAGCGUGGGGAGCAAACA